GAGAAACAUUGCACGAAAGCAGAAUUAUUAUAGAGAAUCUCUAGAUUUUGCAUUUAAAAAAUUAAGUUCACAUGAAGAUGAUGUAAUUUAUAAAUUUCGCUGCGGAGGCCCGGUCUGUGUUUUGCAGCUCAAAUCCAUUGAAAACGACGUUGUCUUCUAUUCUAUUUCACCGCUAAUCCUUAGCCCUCAAGAUUUCUGAUUCUCUCCGUCUCUGAUUUCUGAAGAAAUGAAUAUUUUGAAACCCUAAUUCGAACUUCAAUUCAAUUGUGAAUCAAAUUGCGAAUUAUCUGAUUCACAAUUCUAAAUUUGCCCAUUCUCCUGGUCUCGAUGGGGGAAGCCGGAAGUCCUAGAACAAGUAGAGAAUCAAACACCUCAUUGAUGGCACAGAAUGACGAUCUGGGAAAUGAUAUGUUCAUUCCUCAACUAUUUACUGGAGUACCAGUUCUCAGUGAAGCUGCAUCUUACCUUGCUCAAACAACUUCAUUGCUAACUCGCUGUUUCUCUGAUUAUUCUUUGGAAUAUUCUUCUAGAGAUUCUGGGAAUUCAAUUACUCAUGCACAGGAAUUGGUGACAUAUUCUUCUGGAAAAACUGAGGAAUAUCUGGAUGAUGAUUUCCCAUCUUCAAGUCAAAGCCAUUCAACGUUUUCAGAACCAUCUACAUCUACAUCUGCGACUGCUCCCCCUCCUAUCCGUGAUGGAAUAACAAGAACCUCUUUGGAAAGCCCAUCCCAACAUACGAGUGCAAUUGUAUCAUCAAACCAUAGUGGCCAAAAUGGAAUUUCUAUUUUUCAAGGGCUUAUUGAGAGAGCACGGAGGACUGUUCGUGGAUCUGCUGAUGAUAUAGGAUGGAUGCAACGUGCUUUAUGGAUGCCUGCAGUUGAAGAUGGCACUGAAAGGUUCAUGGAAAUUCUUGAUAACAUCAGGCAUGGUUUGCACAAGUUGUCAAAUUCAGUGGUUUACUUGUUGGUUCCAGGUCUUUUCAGUAAUCAUGGACCACUUUAUUUUGUUAAUACAAAAGUGAGAUUCUCUAAGAUGGGACUAGCCUGUCACAUUGCCAAGAUUCACAGUGAGGCUUCAGUUGAGAAAAAUGCCAGAGAGAUAAAAGAGUAUAUCGAGGAAAUCUAUUGUGGUUCAAAACUUCAAAUGAACAUGUCAUGCUUCUGGGACAUAGUAAAGGAGGGAUAGAUGCAGCUGCUGCUUUAUCAUUGUGUUGCUCUGAUUUGAAAGAUAAGGUAGCUGGAUUGGUAUUAGCACAAAGUCCUUAUGGUGGUAGCACAAAGUCCUUAUGGUGGUAGCCCAAUAGCUUCAAAUAUUUAUGUGAAGGACAACUUGGUGAUUAUGUUAAUGUGUGCAGACUUAUGGGGAUUAUAAUCUGUAAAGUGAUUAAGGUAUGCCUCAGUUUUACUUGUUCAGUCUUAAAAAGAAAUUCUCAAGGAUUUUUUUUUGUGUUUGAAUCCUGUUUUAGAAAUUCCUAAAAGAUAAUAGACUUAUAAUCUCUUUUUUAUAUAAUGAAGACAUACAAAAUCAAUUUAUGCUUUUUUAUGGUAGUUCUGUGGAUAUAUCUUUUUGGUUUCACCCCUUAAAAAUGAGAAAUUCAUGCCAAUAAUGCUUGCUUUCUUAUAUUUGUUUUAUUUCCCUGUUUGUGAAAUAGAAGUGACAUUGAUGUUUUAUCUUGCAUGAUAUAAAAUGUAUAUUCCAAUGCUUGCAAAUGAACUUUGUUAGGAAACAUGGAUUACAAUUUACAAUAGAAUCCUUAGUAUAGCAGGUAUGCGUCCUUUUAUCAUGGCACAUGAAAUUGUAGAUAGUAACUUGAUAAACAUUCCACCAAAUAUGGUUAUUUAUUAAUAUGAUUAAUUGAUUGCUCGGAAAGUGAACUGUGCAAUUACGUAGAAUAACAUGUUUAGAUAGAAUAGUUUCAAGAUAAGAUAAUACAAAUAUAAAUGACUGCUUUUAUGGAAAUGAUCUUGUUCCAAUUGGAGUGAUUGGUGAUCAAUGUGUAGUUAAGCAGUCAUUUCCCCGCUAAAGUCAAAAGUGGUUUCACGAGUAAGAGAGGGACAUAAUUGAGGAAGUAAGAAAGACACAAUUACACCCUGUGAUUUAACAACAAAUAUUGAUGCAGAUAACAGAAAAGAGAGACGACUGAAUGGUGGAGCCCAGUUGGCUGGGAUGUGGUUUUGAUAAAUCUGUUGAGGAUUUUUGCUUCUAAAAUAAUUCUCCUUGUCAUGAUUUUUUUAAUAAUUUGUUUUUAUUGUGAAAUUAUUUUCUAAUCUCUGUGAAGUUAUUAGAUCGUUAUACUUGAGUUCUUAGUGUCUGGCUAAUUUUUGUGUUAUUUGUAACACUGAAGGGUGAUCUACAAGCGCUGCAAAUCAGGUAUGGCGAGAGGAGCAAUGGGCUCGUCACAUGUUGUGAUGCAUAAGUCCCUGGAUCCAUUUUAGUGUGCCCUAAACGAAAAUUGGACCAUGCUUGGAUGGUCUCCUCAUCAUUGAAUGACGACCCUUCUGAAGCAGAUGCUUCUCGUGUGUGCUAAAGCAGAUGCUUCUCAAGUGUGCGAAGCUCUAUCAGCGUUGCUUGUGGAAGUUAGACAAAAGAAGAGACACGAACUUGCAAUAAAAGAUGAGUGAGAGCCUCUUGCGAUUUAUGCCUUUCACUGAUUGUUAUGCUACUCCUGUACAUCAAUAGCAAAUGGCUCUUGGUGCCAUUUGAAAUUGUAAAUAUAUAGCCCCUAGUCACCAAGAAUUAGAUUUUGAUAUCAUCUAGUUAUGCUCUUUGACUAAUGAAAUCGAUAACACUGUUACAACGCUAAUGUAAAAUAAAAAAUGAAUUUUUUUA
This 2829-nucleotide unclassified non-coding RNA is filed under the name Hevea brasiliensis (rubber tree). The record is from RNAcentral. Lineage: Eukaryota; Viridiplantae; Streptophyta; Magnoliopsida; Malpighiales; Euphorbiaceae.